GAUGAAGAACGUAGCAAAAUGCGAUAAGUAAUGUGAAUUGCAGAAUUCAGUGAAUCAUCGAAUCUUUGAACGCACAUUGCGCCCGCCAGUAUUCUGGCGGGCAUGCCUGUUCGAGCGUCAUUUCAACCCUCAAGCACAGCUUGGUGUUGGGACUCGCGUUAAUUCGCGUUCCCCAAAUUGAUUGGCGGUCACGUCGAGCUUCCAUAGCGUAGUAGUAAAACCCUCGUUACUGGUAAUCGUCGCGGCCACGCCGUUAAACCCCAACUUCUGAAUGUUGACCUCGGAUCAGGUAGGAAUACCCUCUGAACUUAAGCAUAUCAAUAAGCGGAGGA
Molecule: unclassified non-coding RNA, 332 nt
Filed under: soil metagenome
Description: partial contains 5.8S ribosomal RNA, internal transcribed spacer 2, and large subunit ribosomal RNA
Rfam family: 5.8S ribosomal RNA (bases 1-120)
Source: RNAcentral